This 624-nucleotide ribosomal RNA is filed under the name Anatololacerta sp. RNAcentral describes it as "partial large subunit ribosomal RNA". Lineage: Eukaryota; Metazoa; Chordata; Lepidosauria; Squamata; Lacertidae. The record is from RNAcentral.
GGAAGACCUAAAAAUAGUGGCAAAAAGCCAACCGAGUUUGGUGAUAGCUGGUUACUCAACAAAUGAACCUUAGUUCAACUUUAGGUGCCCACGAGCCAACUACUUAAACCCACCACCCAUUGACCUAAAGAAACUCAAUGGGGGUACAGCCCCAUUGAACCGGAAUACAACCCGAAUUGAGAAACACCUACUAAACUCUAACCCCAACAGUAGGCCCCAAAGCAGCCACCAACUAAACGCGUUAUAGCUACAACAAAACAAUUUUUACAAUAAUAUACACCUCCUAAUAUACCACGAGUUAUUCUAUUCCUCAAUAGAAACACCAAUGCUAAAAUUAGUAAUAAGAAACUCUAAUUUCUCUCCGCACUCCCUUAAAUCAGAACAGAAAAACUACUGAUAAUUAACACACCACGACCUCCAACAACUAGCUAACAUGUCAACUAUAAUCUGUUACCCCAACACAGGGGUGCAAAAAAGAAAGGCAAAAAGCCAUAAAAGGAACUCGGCAAACCCUACCGUCCCAACUGUUUACCAAAAACAUAGCCUUUAGCUCAACAAGUAUUAAAGGUCCCGCCUGCCCAGUGACUCUUUAAACGGCCGCGGUAUCCUAACCGUGCAAAGGUA